RNAcentral lists this ribosomal RNA (253 nucleotides) under uncultured bacterium. RNAcentral's name for it is "partial 16S ribosomal RNA". It matches the Rfam family "Bacterial small subunit ribosomal RNA", at positions 524 to 776 of the family's 1533-position model. The record is from RNAcentral.
GACAGAGGGUGCAAACGUUGUUCGGAAUUACUGGGCGUAAAGCGCGUGUAGGCGGCCCUGCAAGUCGGAUGUGAAAUCCCACGGCUCAACCGUGGAAGUGCAUUCGAAACUGCAGGGCUAGAGUCCUGGAGAGGAAGGUGGAAUGCUUGGUGUAGAGGUGAAAUUCGUAGAUAUCAAGCGGAACACCGGUGGCGAAGGCGGCCUUCUGGACAGUUACUGACGCUGAUGCACGAAGGCCAGGGGAGCAAACGGG